GUGGGCUAUGGAGAUAUGACGCCCGUGGGUGUGUGGGGCAAGAUCGUUGGGUCCCUGUGUGCCAUCGCUGGUGUCCUUACCAUCGCUCUUCCUGUUCCCGUUAUCGUGUCAAAC
This is a non-coding RNA of Panulirus interruptus (California spiny lobster), 114 nucleotides long. The record is from Rfam. Lineage: Eukaryota; Metazoa; Arthropoda; Malacostraca; Decapoda; Palinuridae.